GUGGGGAAUAUUGGACAAUGGGCGCAAGCCUGAUCCAGCCAUGCCGCGUGAGUGAUGAAGGCCCUAGGGUUGUAAAGCUCUUUUGUGCGGGAAGAUAAUGACGGUACCGCAAGAAUAAGCCCCGGCUAACUUCGUGCCAGCAGCCGCGGUAAUACGAAGGGGGCUAGCGUUGCUCGGAAUCACUGGGCGUAAAGGGUGCGUAGGCGGGUCUUUAAGUCAGGGGUGAAAUCCUGGAGCUCAACUCCAGAACUGCCUUUGAUACUGAAGAUCUUGAGUUCGGGAGAGGUGAGUGGAACUGCGAGUGUAGAGGUGAAAUUCGUAGAUAUUCGCAAGAACACCAGUGGCGAAGGCGGCUCACUGGCCCGAUACUGACGCUGAGGCACGAAAGCGUGGGGAGCAAACAGGAUUAGAAACCCCGGUAGUCC
RNAcentral lists this ribosomal RNA (425 nucleotides) under uncultured bacterium. RNAcentral describes it as "partial 16S ribosomal RNA". It matches the Rfam family "Bacterial small subunit ribosomal RNA", at positions 354 to 796 of the family's 1533-position model. The record is from RNAcentral.